This 111-nucleotide ribosomal RNA is filed under the name Sphenodon punctatus (tuatara). Lineage: Eukaryota; Metazoa; Chordata; Lepidosauria; Sphenodontia; Sphenodontidae. The record is from RNAcentral.
ACCCACAGCCAUACUAGACAAAAUACACACAACCUUGGAAGCUAAGGAGUCCCUGGCCUUGCUAGGGUACUUGGAUGGGAAGCCAUGUAGGACUAUUAAGUGUAGUAGCUG